UCCUCGGUAACAUAGUGGUCAUUAUCCCCCGCCUGUCGCGAGACCGGGGUUCGAUUCCCCGCCGGGGAG
Trichonephila inaurata madagascariensis is the source of this 69-nucleotide non-coding RNA. Lineage: Eukaryota; Metazoa; Arthropoda; Arachnida; Araneae; Nephilidae. The record is from the annotation of a GenBank genome assembly.